CUUUUAGAGGAAGUAAAAGUCGUAACAAGGUUUCCGUAGGUGAACCUGCGGAAGGAUCAUUUCCGAACAAACAUCAUAUCAACCAACCAUGUGAAAUGUUUUGGGUGUCCUUACUGGAGGGGGUAGCUGGAGUUGUUAUGUGCUGCUUAGGCGGCAUCUAGCUCAUCUCCGAUUUUUUUUACACCUCCAGGCCUUGAUGAACUACCUUGUCACAAAGGUUGAUUUUACAUUUGUCUUUUCAACUUUUAGAAAAGUAAAUGAUAUGACAACUUUUAACGGUGGAUCUCUUGGCUCGU
Molecule: unclassified non-coding RNA, 296 nt
Filed under: fungal sp.
Lineage: Eukaryota; Fungi
Description: partial internal transcribed spacer region
Rfam family: Eukaryotic small subunit ribosomal RNA (bases 1-62)
Source: RNAcentral